AGCGAACGCUGGCGGCAGGCCUAACACAUGCAAGUCGAACGAACUCUUCGGGGUUAGUGGCGGACGGGUGAGUAACACGUGGGAACGUGCCUUUAGGUUCGGAAUAACUCAGGGAAACUUGUGCUAAUACCGAAUGUGCCCUUCGGGGGAAAGAUUUAUCGCCUUUAGAGCGGCCCGCGUCUGAUUAGCUAGUUGGUGAGGUAAAGGCUCACCAAGGCGACGAUCAGUAGCUGGUCUGAGAGGAUGAUCAGCCACAUUGGGACUGAGACACGGCCCAAACUCCUACGGGAGGCAGCAGUGGGGAAUCUUGCGCAAUGGGCGAAAGCCUGACGCAGCCAUGCCGCGUGAAUGAUGAAGGUCUUAGGAUUGUAAAAUUCUUUCACCGGGGACGAUAAUGACGGUACCCGGAGAAGAAGCCCCGGCUAACUUCGUGCCAGCAGCCGCGGUAAUACGAAGGGGGCUAGCGUUGCUCGGAAUUACUGGGCGUAAAGGGAGCGUAGGCGGACAUUUAAGUCAGGGGUGAAAUCCCGGGGCUCAACCACGGAAUUGCCUUUGAUACUGGGUGUCUUGAGUAUGAGAGAGGUAUGUGGAACUCCGAGUGUAGAGGUGAAAUUCGUAGAUAUUCGGAAGAACACCAGUGGCGAAGGCGACAUACUGGCUCAUUACUGACGCUGAGGCUCGAAAGCGUGGGGAGCAAACAGG
RNAcentral lists this ribosomal RNA (702 nucleotides) under uncultured Caulobacteraceae bacterium. Its description in RNAcentral is "bacterial SSU rRNA". It matches the Rfam family "Bacterial small subunit ribosomal RNA", at positions 28 to 776 of the family's 1533-position model. Lineage: Bacteria; Pseudomonadati; Pseudomonadota; Alphaproteobacteria; Caulobacterales; Caulobacteraceae. The record is from RNAcentral.